RNAcentral lists this unclassified non-coding RNA (90 nucleotides) under Pseudomonas sp. NFACC14. The record is from RNAcentral. Lineage: Bacteria; Pseudomonadati; Pseudomonadota; Gammaproteobacteria; Pseudomonadales; Pseudomonadaceae.
AGUGGGAGCGAGCUUGCUCGCGAUGGCGAUGGUUCAGCCGGCCAUAAUGUUGACUGACAGACCGCUAUCGCGAGCAAGCUCGCUCCCACA